This 71-nucleotide transfer RNA is filed under the name Psilotum nudum. RNAcentral describes it as "tRNA-Met". It matches the Rfam family "tRNA". Rfam says of the family: Transfer RNA (tRNA) molecules are approximately 80 nucleotides in length. The record is from RNAcentral. Lineage: Eukaryota; Viridiplantae; Streptophyta; Polypodiopsida; Psilotales; Psilotaceae.
AGCGGGAUAGAGUAAUCGGUUAACUCGUUAGGCUCAUGCCCUAAGCAUGCAGGUUCGAAUCCUGCUCCCGC